RNAcentral lists this ribosomal RNA (497 nucleotides) under uncultured bacterium. RNAcentral describes it as "partial 16S ribosomal RNA". It matches the Rfam family "Bacterial small subunit ribosomal RNA", at positions 28 to 507 of the family's 1533-position model. The record is from RNAcentral.
GAUGAACGCUGGCGGCGUGCCUAAUACAUGCAAGUCGAGCGAACAGACGAGGAGCUUGCUCCUCUGACGUUAGCGGCGGACGGGUGAGUAACACGUGGAUAACCUACCUAUAAGACUGGGAUAACUUCGGGAAACCGGAGCUAAUACCGGAUAAUAUAUUGAACCGCAUGGUUCAAUAGUGAAAGACGGUUUUGCUGUCACUUAUAGAUGGAUCCGCGCCGCAUUAACUAGUUGGUAAGGUAACGGCUUACCAAGGCAACGAUGCGUAGCCGACCUGAGAGGGGGAUCGGCCACACUGGAACUGAGACACGGUCCAGACUCCUACGAGAGGCAGCAGUAGGGAAUCUUCCGCAAUGGGCGAAAGCCUGACGGAGCAACGCCGCGUGAGUGAUGAAGGUCUUCGGAUCGUAAAACUCUGUUAUUAGGGAAGAACAAAUGUGUAAGUAACUAUGCACGUCUUGACGGUACCUAAUCAGAAAGCCACGGCUAACUACGUG